GACGAACGCUGGCGGCGUGCCUAAUACAUGCAAGUAGAACGCACAGUUUAUACCGUAGCUUGCUCCACCAUAGACUGUGAGUUGCGAACGGGUGAGUAACGCGUAGGUAACCUGCCUGGUAGCGGGGGAUAACUAUUGGAAACGAUAGCUAAUACCGCUUAAUAUUAAUUAUUGCAUGAUAAUUAAUUGAAAGGUGCAAUUGCACCACUACCAGAUGGACCUGCGUUGUAUUAGCUAGUAGGUGAGGUAACGGCUCACCUAGGCGACGAUACAUAGCCGACCUGAGAGGGUGAUCGGCCACACUGGGACUGAGACACGGCCCAGACUCCUACGGGAGGCAGCAGUAGGGAAUCUUCGGCAAUGGACGAAAGUCUGACCGAGCAACGCCGCGUGAGUGAAGAAGGUUUUCGGAUCGUAAAGCUCUGUUGUAAGAGAAGAACGGGUGUGAGAGUGGAAAGUUCACACUGUGACGGUAUCUUACCAGAAAGGGACGGCUAACUACGUG
RNAcentral lists this ribosomal RNA (505 nucleotides) under uncultured bacterium. RNAcentral describes it as "partial 16S ribosomal RNA". It matches the Rfam family "Bacterial small subunit ribosomal RNA", at positions 28 to 507 of the family's 1533-position model. The record is from RNAcentral.